Nyctereutes procyonoides (raccoon dog) is the source of this 820-nucleotide long non-coding RNA. RefSeq lists it as uncharacterized. NCBI's taxonomy places the organism in Eukaryota, Metazoa, Chordata, Mammalia, Carnivora, Canidae. The transcript has 3 exons. The record is from RefSeq and is a predicted model, not a curated record.
CAACAAUAAAGAUGAUUGCCCACGGUUUUCUUCUCUCCCACAGCCUUGUGUAUGACCCUGGCACUUCUCCAGAGUGACCCUAUAUGGCAUGCUGUGUUCCUCCCUGGGAACUUCUGCAGAUACCCUUCACCUGAUUUAUGUUCAUUCAAAGAAGAAUCUUAGCAGUAAAAAGAUCUCCUAUUGAAGAAGAAUGUUCAAGAACUGAUUGCUUACACCUCACUUCUUCUGGGAAGACCUACCGGAGAGGUGGAGGCAGAAUGGACCAGCACGCCCUCUUGUGAGGGUGAUCCCCCAAUCCUUCCUGCUUCCCCCGGGGCAUUUGCUACUUUGCAGUACUACUACAAACUCAAGGUGAGUGCUACUCCCACUCAACCUUACCUCUGUGAGCCCCCUUGCUCAUUCACUUCAGCUACAGGAGCCUCCUUGUUAUUCCUGGACCAUGGGGUGCAUUCCCACCUCACCAGACAGUCCGUGAGUCCAAUAUACUUUCUCCUCCAGACAUCCAUGUGACUCGGUACCUCAAGUCUUUAUGUGAAUGUCACCUCUUAAAAGCCUUCCCUGACCACCCCUCAUUCUACCAUAAAAAGUGGCAGCCUCCACUAUUCUCUAUCCCCUUGCCCUGCUUCAUCUCGUCACGCAUUUAGAACCACGUGAUACAUAAUCUAUUACCUGUUCAAGGACUUCCCCAACUAAGACAUCACUUCCACAAAGAAAGGAGAGACUUUGUUCUGUUCACUGUUGUGUCUCCAGAACAUGGUGUGGCACACAUUAGGUACUCAGUAUUAACUCAAUGACUGAAUUCUAAGUGUUUUUUUUUUUU